This 450-nucleotide ribosomal RNA is filed under the name uncultured bacterium. RNAcentral's name for it is "partial 16S ribosomal RNA". It matches the Rfam family "Bacterial small subunit ribosomal RNA", at positions 354 to 796 of the family's 1533-position model. The record is from RNAcentral.
GUGGGGAAUUUUGGACAAUGGGCGCAAGCCUGAUCCAGCAAUGCCGCGUGCAGGAAGAAGGCCUUCGGGUUGUAAACUGCUUUUGUACGGAACGAAACGGUCCGGGUUAAUACCUGGGGCUAAUGACGGUACCGUAAGAAUAAGCACCGGCUAACUACGUGCCAGCAGCCGCGGUAAUACGUAGGGUGCGAGCGUUAAUCGGAAUUACUGGGCGUAAAGCGUGCGCAGGCGGUGCUGUAAGACAGGCGUGAAAUCCCCGGGCUCAACCUGGGAAUUGCGCUUGUGACUGCAGUGCUGGAAUACGGCAGAGGGGGAUGGAAUUCCGCGUGUAGCAGUGAAAUGCGUAGAUAUGCGGAGGAACACCGAUGGCGAAGGCAGUCCCCUGGGCCUGUACUGACGCUCAUGCACGAAAGCGUGGGGAGCAAACAGGAUUAGAUACCCGUGUAGUCC